This is a long non-coding RNA of Doryrhamphus excisus (bluestripe pipefish), 1500 nucleotides long. RefSeq lists it as uncharacterized. NCBI's taxonomy places the organism in Eukaryota, Metazoa, Chordata, Actinopteri, Syngnathiformes, Syngnathidae. The record is from RefSeq and is a predicted model, not a curated record.
CGAUGAUCUACUGCUGUAAAAGUGGAAGUCUGGGAGAGGAGGUGAGGGUAUGCUGCUGUGCUUUCAACGCCGACGUUCGUUGGUGAUGUAUGGAGUCGUCGCUCAGGAACUCAACCCUAUCUGAUGUUCUCGACAUUUGGAAGGAUAAGGACCAGAGUACCAAACCACAAGUGUGAACGCAGCCCAAGGACUAAUCCCAAAGAAAGGCUUUGUGAAGGAUACAAACAAAAUGAAGAGGUCAGAAUCGCUGCUGACUGACUAAUAUGCACUUAAAGCAUCCUUUUAGUGGAGGUGUGUCGUAACAAAGUCGAGACCCGUACCUUGUCUCAUGUCGGUUCUAUCCUCCUCACCUUGAUAAUGGAUCGUCGGCUGACAGCUACUGUAGCCAAGAGGACCCUUCCUCAUCACUGCACACUAAUGCAGCAGAUAUGGCCUGCAUGAAUGCCUGAAUACAUUUAUAGUCGUCACAAUCACCUAUUCCGGAUUCGGUUGAAGACUCAUGAAAAUUGUUCUUGUUUACCCACAUCCCGAAUGACAAAUUACAAAUCUCUGGCAUUGUGGUGUUUUUGUGUGUAUAUUAUACUAUUAUACUGUAGCUUUUGUCUGGACAUUGUAAAAAAUGACAAGGUUUUAAAAAAACAAAUGAACAAACACACUGCCAACACCAAAUGUUGGCAUUUCUGUGCCUGCAAGCCAGACAGGCAUUAGUUCAGUCGUACAAUAUCUACUACCCAAGGAAAGGCUGACACAGGAGAUGAAAUGUGAACGUCAGUGAUCUCCCCUUUGAAAACGCCUCAGUCAGCCUUCAUUGAGCUUUGUCGUCUUUAGGGUGGUAAAGACUGUAGUAAUAUGCCCUCAUAAACACUCAGACGAGGGAAAAGAUCGUGCUGAGACGGGUACUAUUCAUGCACAGCUAUAUGGUUCUAGGAAUUUGGUCAAACAAUAUCUUCUGCGUCUUAUUGCCGAGCAACAAUGCAUGACCUUAUAAGAACAGCAGUAAAGUAUUAAGAAUUUAAAUGACCUGACAUUUCUUUGUGUUUAGCAUGUCCAUUAAUUGGCUUGAACUUUUACUUUCCGCCUUUUUAGUGUGCUGCUUCCAUUUCCCUCGACUUGAAGUGACCAGUGAAUCAGACAAUUGUUGUUAAACUGUAGAUGUUGAGUACUAAGAAAAGGAAUUAAUGAGUUCAAGGCCUCCUGGAAAUACUUGAAACCAUUUUCAUGUUAAAUUGCAUUUGUAUUAUAGCAGCUCAGGGACUGCUGCAGAAAAUAAGCAAAUUGGCGAAACUGGCAGACAUGCUGAUUAAACGUUUUGAUAAAUAUUACACAACACGGCAGUAACAUAACCAAUGUUGUAACAAGGAGCAAACUGCUCAUCUAGCUGGAAUACCGCUGAUGAGUUCACUGACAGUAUGCCGAGGAGAACCCGCUUUAGUUUCACACAAACAGCUAUGCCACGGAAACAUUUAUGUAUCAUGUAUGUAGAGGCGGGCGGCACGGUGG